GACAAUCAGCACACUCGGUUGCCCAACUAUGACUGAAAAAACGUUGAGAUCUAUUUCGACUUUAUUCCUCGCCUGCGUUCCGGUUGCCGAACUGAGGAAAUUGCUGGAUACAGUGCCGAAGGGAACUACUGACGCAGGAAUUUCAGGAAGCGUUGAUCGACCGCACAAUUCUCCAUCCUACUGCGUCAGCGUACCCGCCGAGGCCGGCGUACAUAACCAAUUUCCUCAAGUGUCUCAUGAACAAGGUAGUGGUUCGCCAAUGACUGACAUCUCGGCCUCCGGCGACUCCUGACUAACCGCAGAAUCACCCUCGCUUUCGCAGCUAGAAGAAAAAAAAAAAAUGUCGAGAUCACGGACAGCCUGUAUACGUCCACUUUGCCGAGAAACUCGGAGGUGUGAACAGCGAUGAAGACAUCCCCGGCUUCGUCACGUACACCAUCGACGCUCGCAUGACAGUCACUUUAAAAGAACAUACGGCUUCUGUGGUUGGUGGGACGACAAGCCUCACAACAUGACAGGCGCAUUCUAGAACUGAGGUGUGGCGUCGGACUGACUGGCAUCGUCGUGUGCAAGACCUGUCGCCCCUUGUAGUACACAUUCACUGAUGGCCACGGCGCCGUUCUUCGCUCACUAGUGGACAACCUCAAGUGGAACGGCGUCACGGAGUGCCAUGCAAGGGAUUGAAGCGCUUCAUUGGGGCGAACAAUGCAAAUUUCGAGGAGCUGUUGCUGAGCAGACGUAAUCCUC
Rhipicephalus microplus (southern cattle tick) is the source of this 747-nucleotide long non-coding RNA. The record is from RefSeq and is a predicted model, not a curated record. NCBI's taxonomy places the organism in Eukaryota, Metazoa, Arthropoda, Arachnida, Ixodida, Ixodidae.